AUUGAACGCUGGCGGCAGGCCUAACACAUGCAAGUCGAGCGGCGGCGGACGGGUGAGUAAUGCCUAGGAAACUGCCUGAUGGAGGGGGAUAACUACUGGAAACGGUAGCUAAUACCGCAUACCAUCAGAUGUGCCCCGAUGGGAUUGGCUAGUAGGUGGGGUAACGGCUCACCUAGGCGACGGUCCCUAGCUGGUCUGAGAGGAUGACCAGCCACACUGGAACGGAGACACGGUCCAGACUCCUACGGGAGGCAGCAGUGGGGAAUAUUGCACAAUGGGCGCAAGCCUGAUGCAGCCAGGCCGCGUGUGUGAAGAAGGCCUUCGGGUUGUAAAGCACUUUCAGCGGGGAGGCGUUACCCGCAGAAGAAGCACCGGCUAACUCCGUGCCAGCAGCCGCGGUAAUAC
RNAcentral lists this ribosomal RNA (405 nucleotides) under uncultured bacterium. RNAcentral describes it as "partial 16S ribosomal RNA". It matches the Rfam family "Bacterial small subunit ribosomal RNA", at positions 29 to 526 of the family's 1533-position model. The record is from RNAcentral.